GCCUGGCUGGCUGAGUAGGAAGAGCAUGUGACUUUUGAUCUCAGGGUUAUGAGUUCAAGCCCCAUGUUGGGGG
This 73-nucleotide transfer RNA is filed under the name Mustela putorius furo (domestic ferret). It matches the Rfam family "tRNA". Rfam says of the family: Transfer RNA (tRNA) molecules are approximately 80 nucleotides in length. Their secondary structure includes four short double-helical elements and three loops (D, anti-codon, and T loops). The record is from Rfam by way of RNAcentral. Lineage: Eukaryota; Metazoa; Chordata; Mammalia; Carnivora; Mustelidae.